GGAAUGCCUAGUAAGCGCGAGUCAUCAGCUCGCGUUGAU
Molecule: ribosomal RNA, 39 nt
Filed under: Cephaleuros virescens
Lineage: Eukaryota; Viridiplantae; Chlorophyta; Ulvophyceae; Trentepohliales; Trentepohliaceae
Description: partial 18S ribosomal RNA
Source: RNAcentral